This 255-nucleotide ribosomal RNA is filed under the name uncultured bacterium. Its description in RNAcentral is "partial 16S ribosomal RNA". It matches the Rfam family "Bacterial small subunit ribosomal RNA", at positions 524 to 776 of the family's 1533-position model. The record is from RNAcentral.
UACGAAGGGUGCAAACGUUGCUCGGAAUUAUUGGGCGUAAAGCGCACGUAGGCGGCUUAGCAAGUCGGAAGUGAAAAGCCCUCGGCUCAACCAAGGAAGUGCUUUCGAAACUGCUGAGCUUGAGUACUUAAGAGGAUCGCGGAAUUCCCGGUGUAGAGGUGAAAUUCGUAGAUAUCGGGAGGAACACCAGUGGCGAAGGCGGCGAUCUGGGGAAGAUACUGACGCUGAGGUGCGAAAGCGUGGGGAGCAAACAGG